This 230-nucleotide ribosomal RNA is filed under the name uncultured bacterium. Its description in RNAcentral is "partial 16S ribosomal RNA". It matches the Rfam family "Bacterial small subunit ribosomal RNA", at positions 111 to 334 of the family's 1533-position model. The record is from RNAcentral.
UAAUAUUCGGGCAAUUUCCCUUUAAGUGGAAAACAACCUGCCGAAAGGUGGGCUAAUGUUCCAUAUGACCACGAUCUCGCAUGAGAUUGAGGUAAAAGCUCCGCAAGGGGCGCUUAAUGAGAAGCCCAAAUCCUAUCAUGGUAGUUGGUGAGGUAACGGCUCACCAAGCCUUCGACGGGUAGCCGGCCUGAAAGGGUGAUCAGCCACACUGGAACUGAGACACGGUCCAG